CGUAGGUGGCAAGCGUUGUCCGGAAUUAUUGGGCGUAAAGCGCGCGCAGGCGGUUCCUUAAGUCUGAUGUGAAAGCCCCCGGCUCAACCGGGGAAGGUCAUUGGAAACUGGGGAACUUGAGUGCAGAAGAGAAGAGCGGAAUUCCACGUGUAGCGGUGAAAUGCGUAGAGAUGUGGAGGAACACCAGUGGCGAAGGCGGCUCCUUGGUCUGUAACUGACGCUGAGGCGCGAAAGCGUGGGGAGCAAACAGGAUUAGAUACCCUGGUAGUCCACGCCGUAAACGAUGAGUGCUAAGUGUUAGAGGGUUUCCGCCCUUUAGUGCUGCAGCUAACGCAUUAAGCACUCCGCCUGGGGAGUACGGCCGCAAGGCUG
Molecule: ribosomal RNA, 372 nt
Filed under: uncultured organism
Description: bacterial SSU rRNA
Rfam family: Bacterial small subunit ribosomal RNA
Source: RNAcentral